Long non-coding RNA from Pyrus x bretschneideri (Chinese white pear), 406 nucleotides. RefSeq lists it as uncharacterized. The record is from RefSeq and is a predicted model, not a curated record. Lineage: Eukaryota; Viridiplantae; Streptophyta; Magnoliopsida; Rosales; Rosaceae. The transcript is spliced from 3 exons.
AUAAAUUGAAUGAAGAGGGCAGUGUGUGUGUCAUGUGUGUGGACAAACAAACACGAGUUAUAACAUAUAGCAGUUACGUACGGCGUGUUUGGGUUAGAGAACAUCUUUGAUGAGUUGGAGAUUAGCCAUGGCUGCCGAAGCCCAAGGCGACGAUGAAAACGAUGAUCCCCAUGAUGUAGAGAGCCUGAUGAUGGUUCUUAAAUCGAUCGCAUCCAUGAUUUACCAGAACUAUUUUUCAGAGGUUCAUGCCGAUUCUGAAGGGAACACACAAACUACAAUCGAGGCAUCGAUAUCCUCGAUUUAAGGCCAAGGGAUGUGUUGCCUUUCAAGAGUGACUUCGGACCAAGAAAUGCUCCUCACCUGACCCUGGUUUAGCACUUUCGAUAGCAUACCCCAAUCUGGUAUG